Hyaena hyaena (striped hyena) is the source of this 1561-nucleotide long non-coding RNA. RefSeq lists it as uncharacterized. The transcript is spliced from 2 exons. The record is from RefSeq and is a predicted model, not a curated record. NCBI's taxonomy places the organism in Eukaryota, Metazoa, Chordata, Mammalia, Carnivora, Hyaenidae.
CUCUAACUCAGACUGUUGGGAGCUACGGGCGGGAGACAGUUGCCAGGGUAAUGGGGCGAUUCCCACUCGCUGCCUCCUUGGGCCCGGCCCGACCAAGCUCCCGCGUGGAAACGGGGGUCUUGGGGCAGAAUUACAUUUCUCUCCCAUCUACCGAUCAUCACUCAGCCAACCCACCCACCCACCAUCGUUCUACACACCCUGGCAGGCUCCGGCACCGACGCCAUCUGUUGAUUCGCCUCCCAGCGGAUUCUCUCUCUAUCUAGAGCUGCCCGUUAACUGAAUACAGUACCCAUAGUUAAGUCUGAUGUUCCCUGAAGCAGUAAUUUUACAUUGCAGGGUUUAUCUAAAAUUCAAAGUUAACUGGAUUUUUGUUUGCUAAAUUUCACAGCCUUGUUCAUGCUAAGCAAACAGCUGCCUUUUGUUUUAAUUCCAGAGGGUCCCUGCUUCAGCGCCAAAGCUCUGCCAUCGGGUAAUAAAACUCUGAGUUGUCCCAACUCUGUCCCCCCCCGAGCUUCGUGGUCUGCAAACGCGUAAAAGUAGAACAAGUCUUAUAGGGUGACUACUUUGAAGAAUAACUCUCAUUUGAGCAUAGAAUUUGAUCAAAGUGUUUGGCUAUUGACUGUCUCCCUGCCCUAGCUGAGUUGGUUCAAGCCACUACUUUACCACCCUUACAGAUUCCUAAGAAAUUCCUGGACCCUUACCUUGAAUAGCAGCAUGGGCCACUGAUCCCACCUAGUAAUGCACACACGUGAACUCAAAUUCCUACUCAAAUCACCAAGAAAAAGCAAGCACGCGCAUGCGUCCCAGCAUGCAAACUUGGGCUUGGAACCCUAGGAAUCCAAAUGGUUCUUAAAGGACGUGGCUUUCCGUACACUUUUACAGCACCGAAUACCAAGGUGCUCAGAAGAAGCUGCGGCCCGAUUUGCCACCGAACCUUAGUAAACUAGACUCUGGGGUUUCUCUUCGGUCACGGAUGCCGUGCUACAGCUGGUUCCCUCUUCUGCUCAGGAUUGCGCAAGGGAAAUAAACACACACAGCACACUAUGGUAGCUGAAAUGUGCUCAGCAGCAACUGCACUAAUUUUAAAUGAUGACUUCUACCAAAAUAAUUAAGUAUCCAAAAUUAAAUUACAGUCGAUGGAAAAGAGAUAAUGCAUUGUCUGAGUUGGUACAUUGCCUGUAACUUUUCAAGCAUGAAAGAUAAACUCUACUCAACUCACAAUUAUAGCAGAGGCUGAGUAUCAAGUGUCCUGACUUGGUAAUUGGUAGAAUUAAGUUCUUAUUCUGGCUUAUCCCUGACUCAAGUAUCCUGUGUCCUUAUUUCUCCGUCUAUAAUAUGAAGACAAAACAAAUACACUGGAAGACAAAGGUUCAGCAAAGAAAAAGCAGCACUGAUCCCCAGACUGAAGGCAACAAAUAGUUCUGAUGGUCAAUUUCAUGGCUGUGAUACUAACAAGAGACACCAUUCGAUUCAAAAACAACUUAGAGGGCUCAGGCAAUUACAACUUUCUCUUGUCUACUAUCCAGAGAUUCCAGAUUAAUAAAUCAAAAAUGUCCAUGAA